UGGGAUUUUCCCUUGAUGUCAGUUAUAAUCAUCAAAAUUAAAAGAAAUAAACAUUUGAAAUAUAUCAGUCUGUGUGUAAUAAAUGAGUGUCGAAUGAAACUAUACUAAUACUUAUAGCAUAUAAUCUCAAAGAUUGUUAUUGGUUAUAUAAUAUCACUGCCAGAAGGUGGAGCCCUCUAAACCAUCUCAGUAUCUUCAACAAAGCAUACAUUUAUAAACCAAGUCAGUCAGAUCCUAGAUGAGAACUAGAAGCAUUCAAUUUUAAAGCCAUUGUCUUUUAUUAGUGUAGAUGUUGCUUUUAACAUUCAUCAUGGUUUCUCUUCUAAAAGAGAAUGCUGCUGCAGAUUUAAUAACAUCAUUGUUCACAGAGAAACAUGUUUUUGAAGGAGAUGAUGUGACUUUAUCCUGCAACUACAGUGGUACUGUUUACAAUUUACAUUGGUACCGUCAAUAUCCCGGAUCUAAACCUGAGAAUCUCAUUCUUCACAAUGAGCUCAAUAGUUGGUCAGAGCCCAAGCUUCGUCUGUACGCCGUUGCUGAUAAAGCUGGCAAACGUAUGGAUCUGAGUAUCUCUACAACACAAACAGAGGAUUCAGCUGUGUAUUACUGUGCCCUGGAGCCCACAGUGACAUGAAACACAAACACACUGUACAAAAACUGAGAAGCAGAUUUAAGGCAAAUGAUCAUCAGUUAAAAAAAUGAGCCCCUUAUUCUUAAUAUAAACGAAAAAGCAAACUCUUAUAGUUACACAACAUUCACAAAGUCAGUGUUUAACCUAAUCUAAACACAAAUCACACAUCAUGUGUAGUACUUACUGUAUGUAGGCAGCAUUCUUACCAUAUGCAUAUACUAUAUGUCACCAAGUAGCUGCUGUGCCAUAUCCCAAUAAUGCUGUUCUGUUCGUGUAACACAAUUGCAUAUAUGUACACCACU
Misgurnus anguillicaudatus (oriental weatherfish) is the source of this 933-nucleotide non-coding RNA. NCBI's taxonomy places the organism in Eukaryota, Metazoa, Chordata, Actinopteri, Cypriniformes, Cobitidae. The record is from the annotation of a RefSeq genome assembly.